CGGAGGUGCAAGCGUUAUCCGGAUUCACUGGGUUAAAGGGUGCGUAGGAGGGCAGGUAAGUCAGUGGUGAAAUCUCUGGGCUCAACCCGGAACUGCCGUUGAUACUAUCUGUCUUGAAUACUGUGGAGGUGAGCGGAAUAUGUCAUGUAGCGGUGAAAUGCUUAGAUAUGACAUAGAACACCAAUUGCGAAGGCAGCUCACUACACAUAUAUUGACUCUGAGGCACGAAAGCGUGGGAUCAAACAGGAUU
RNAcentral lists this ribosomal RNA (250 nucleotides) under uncultured bacterium. RNAcentral describes it as "partial 16S ribosomal RNA". It matches the Rfam family "Bacterial small subunit ribosomal RNA", at positions 527 to 779 of the family's 1533-position model. The record is from RNAcentral.